Cygnus olor (mute swan) is the source of this 1115-nucleotide long non-coding RNA. RefSeq lists it as uncharacterized. The record is from RefSeq and is a predicted model, not a curated record. NCBI's taxonomy places the organism in Eukaryota, Metazoa, Chordata, Aves, Anseriformes, Anatidae. The transcript is spliced from 3 exons.
UACGUGGCCUCAGGGCUUCCAGACUUCCUAGUCAAUUAAAAAGUUUUAAGUUGAGUAAGUUCUAUCCCUAUCAGCGACAAUGCAGGCUAUCCCUGAAUAUUCAAAGAGCAAUAUUUCUCCAGAUGAGUCACAUUUUUAACUUAAAUUUUGGUUACUGGUGUGGCUAUGUCACAUGAUCAAAAUGUAUUUUCUGUUGCUUGUUGUACUGUGUUAAGAGAAAGGCAUAGGAACGAUGCGGCACUGGUCUAGCUGUGGCACUGCUUCUGGUCCCAGCAGUGGAACUUCUCAGUCCUCCGUGGAAGCGUCUUCUAGGUCAUCACAUAUGACCUCCAGAGUGACCAAUCUCAUCAGAAAUCAGGAAAACUACUAAGCAGUGGAGAAAGUAGAAAAAAGUAUUCUCCACCCUCUGCCUUAGUACAAGAGUAAGUGUGAUGACCAUUUCCUAGGUAAUAUAUAUUUAUUAAUUUUUACUUAAAACAGCACAGUAGUCAUACAUGCAAACUGAUUCAGCUACCAUCUCCAAACUACUGAAUCCCAGAUAUAAAGAAUGUCACCUAUGGACUUUUUUCUAUCCUUUCAUAAUGAUAUAUUUGGUUGGAAUAACGAUCUCCUCUAAAUUAAUGGAGUUAACUGAUAGAGCUGUACAUGACUAAAACAAAAUGCUUUAUCAGACAUUCUUCCCUGUCCUGAGGCAUCUUCUGCCACCUGCCCUUUCAUGGGGGCCCAGAUCCAUCACCAUCACCUCAGACCUCCUUAUAGCUAAGUUUCAUCUUAGUCCUGUAGUUCAUUUACGAGUAGCAUCUUUCAGAUGAUUCUUUGGAUGGUUAGGAAAACAUUUCAAGUUCUUGUCUAAGCUCUUAACCUCUUAUAUCUCAAUUGCCAUAAUACUAUUUCUUCUGGCUUUGACAAGUUUAUCAUGUGUCUUCACUUUUGUGCCUUCCUCUGUGUUGACCCUUUACUUGAAACUUACAAAAAUCAUUUAAAAGGUGAACUCAUUAAAUUAAAAUCUUUAAAACUCUCUCUUGUUAUAAUGCCUAUGAAAGAAAUGAGAAAGAAUAUCAGGCUGGGGUUGUUCUAUGGAUGUUGCCUCUCUUACUUUCAUGCUUUCUUUGUGU